Molecule: ribosomal RNA, 268 nt
Filed under: uncultured bacterium
Lineage: Bacteria
Description: partial small subunit ribosomal RNA
Rfam family: Bacterial small subunit ribosomal RNA
Source: RNAcentral
AGGAUUAACGCUGGCGGCGUGCAUGAAACAUGCAAGUCGAGCGCGGUGUGAUGAGGGGUAACCCGAUUCACAUCUAGCGGCGAACGGGUGAGUAACACGUGAGCAACCUACCUUUGAGUUGGGGAUAGCCCUGGGAAACCAGGAUUAAUACCCGAUGUGGUCACAACAGGACAUCCUGAUGUGAGUAAAGGCGUAAGCCGCUCAAUGACGGGCUCGCGGCCUAUUAGCUUGUUGGUGGGGUAACGGCCUACCAAGGCGAUGAUGGGUA